Molecule: ribosomal RNA, 748 nt
Filed under: uncultured bacterium
Lineage: Bacteria
Description: bacterial SSU rRNA
Rfam family: Bacterial small subunit ribosomal RNA
Source: RNAcentral
UGGCGGACGGGUGAGUAACGCGUGAGCAACCUGCCCUUCGGAACGGGAUAGUGUCUGGAAACGGACAGGUAAUACCGGUAUAACAUAUAUUAAUCGCAUGGUUGAUAUAUCAAAACUGAGGUGCCGAAGGAUGGGCUCGCGUCUGAUUAGAUAGUUGGUGGGGUAACGGCCUACCAAGUCGACGAUCAGUAGCCGGACUGAGAGGUUGAUCGGCCACAUUGGGACUGAGACACGGCCCAGACUCCUACGGGAGGCAGCAGUGGGGAAUAUUGCACAAUGGGGGAAACCCUGAUGCAGCAACGCCGCGUGAAGGAAGACGGUUUUCGGAUUGUAAACUUCUGUUCUUAGUGAAGAAUAAUGACGGUAGCUAAGGAGCAAGCCACGGCUAACUACGUGCCAGCAGCCGCGGUAAUACGUAGGUGGCAAGCGUUGUCCGGAAUUACUGGGUGUAAAGGGAGCGUAGGCGGAAUGCCAAGUCAGCUGUGAAAACUACGGGCUUAACCUGUAGACUGCAGUUGAAACUGGUAUUCUUGAGUGAAGUAGAGGUUGGCGGAAUUCCGAGUGUAGCGGUGAAAUGCGUAGAUAUUCGGAGGAACACCGGUGGCGAAGGCGGCCAACUGGGCUUUAACUGACGCUGAGGCUCGAAAGUGUGGGGAGCAAACAGGAUUAGAUACCCUGGUAGUCCACACUGUAAACGAUGAUAACUAGGUGUGGGGGGUCUGACCCCUUCCGUGCCGCAGCUAACGCA